CCCAGUUCGGAUUGCAGUCUGCAACUCGACUGCAUGAAGCUGGAAUCGCUAGUAAUCGCGAAUCAGAAUGUCGCGGUGAAUACGUUCCCGGGUCUUGUACACACCGCCCGUCACACCAUGGGAGUUGGUAACGCCCGAAGUCAGUGACCCAACCGCAAGGAGGGAGCUGCCGAAGGCGGGAUCGGUAACUGGGGUGAAGUCGUAACAAGGUACC
This 214-nucleotide ribosomal RNA is filed under the name uncultured bacterium. RNAcentral's name for it is "partial 16S ribosomal RNA". It matches the Rfam family "Bacterial small subunit ribosomal RNA", at positions 1287 to 1500 of the family's 1533-position model. The record is from RNAcentral.